CAAUGGGCGAAAGCCUGAUCCAGCAAUGCCGCGUGUGUGAAGAAGGCCUUCGGGUUGUAAAGCACUUUUGUCCGGAAAGAAAUCCUUGGCUCUAAUACAGUCGGGGGAUGACGGUACCGGAAGAAUAAGCACCGGCUAACUACGUGCCAGCAGCCGCGGUAAUACGUAGGGUGCGAGCGUUAAUCGGAAUUACUGGGCGUAAAGCGUGCGCAGGCGGUUUGCUAAGACCGAUGUGAAAUCCCCGGGCUCAACCUGGGAACUGCAUUGGUGACUGGCAGGCUAGAGUAUGGCAGAGGGGGGUAGAAUUCCACGUGUAGCAGUGAAAUGCGUAGAGAUGUGGAGGAAUACCGAUGGCGAAGGCAGCCCCCUGGGCCAAUACUGACGCUCAUGCACGAAAGCGUGGGGAGCAAACAGGAUUAGAUACCCUGGUAGUCCACGCCCUAAACGAUGUCAACUAGUUGUUGGGGAUUCAUUUCCUUAGUAACGUAGCUAACGCGUGAAGUUGACCGCCUGGGGAGUACGGUCGCAAGAUUAAAACUCAAAGGAAUUGACGGGGACCCGCACAAGCGGUGGAUGAUGUGGAUUAAUUCGAUGCAACGCGAAAAACCUUACCUACCCUUGACAUGGUCGGAAUCCUGCUGA
RNAcentral lists this ribosomal RNA (642 nucleotides) under Burkholderia cepacia. RNAcentral's name for it is "bacterial SSU rRNA". It matches the Rfam family "Bacterial small subunit ribosomal RNA", at positions 369 to 1004 of the family's 1533-position model. Lineage: Bacteria; Pseudomonadati; Pseudomonadota; Betaproteobacteria; Burkholderiales; Burkholderiaceae. The record is from RNAcentral.